AGAGAGAAGCCCCUUGCGGGUCAGUCAGUGUAUUGUGGUGAGUGUGGUAGGUCUUGCUCUCUCCUCACACUCAUACUGUCACAUACUCUUCUCGCCGGGCUCACCAACCCCCUUAUACAGUUUAUCGAGCUCUAAAUAAAUGCAAUUAAUGUUUGAACAUCAACUUUGAGCAGUGUUUGAAGUGUAGUAGUGGCAGGAGAGACGAGCACUGGACGAUACUCUCUUUGACAGCUGAUAGUUGGUGAUAUUUUUAACUUUUUUUACAUGCUUAGGAGUGGUGUAGUCAAGCCAACGUACCUCCCGUGUCCCAGGACAUUAUUUACAAAUGCCGUGUGUCCUGCUAGAUAGAGUUUUCUGUUAAAAAAUUGGUGAACGGCAGCAAACUGGCUACACGUUUUCUACCGCUUCCUCGGCAGCUCGGGAAAAAAUAACGUUGAGAAGCCAAGGAUUACCGGCUGCCUCACCUGCAAUAACAAGUCUAGUUGUACGAGGUGUAUAGAACGACCCGUGUGCGUGACACAGUGAAUAAUGGAGGUUUUGGGGUCCUGCAGCGUCCACUGGUUGACUCUGGCUGUCUUCCUGUAUGGAGCACACUAUAGUGCGUGUGCGUGUCACCUUGAAAACUAUGUGUCCUCGUGUAUCCUAAAUAUCCUUGAGGAACACAUAGAAGCAACAGCCAUCAUCAAUCAUUGUCACCUGCCUCUUGAUAUCACCUUUCUAAUAGCAUAUCAAUACAAGAACAGUACUCGACACAACUGGAAGUACACAUUUGUCACAUCAAACCAGAAUGAGAGAGUCCUCAUUCCUGGCUUGUUACUACCUGUGGCACCUCACGCACCAGUCUUCCUGUAUGCUCGAGUGCCAGAGAGGGAAUUCAACAUGCACAAUGCUUCUUUUGUGGCAAUUGAGGCAUCAUUUGUAGCAGAGUUAAGCACCGACAAGUGGGAAGAAGCCGAGUUCUUAAACCACACUGUGUACAUUGGUUCCACCAAUGAUUGUCUCUUCAGCAAACUUGGACAAGAUCCCAUACCCUGGAUUAUUGGUGGUUUGUUUGCUGUUGCAUUGGUUUCAGGCGCUCUAGGAGGCGGCUGUUAUUUUUAUCGAAAAAGGAAAAUGGCAUUAGAUCAACUAGCACUUGUGAAUGCUAUGGAGGUUGGUCUUCCAGGGGCUCAGCCAUAUCAGAUGGAUGCAGCUGUGGAAAAAAAGAAGCAAAAUGUUGAAACUAUCCAUAAUGAAUCAUCUCAACCCAAGAGUAGUACAACAGAAAGUAUGGAAAGUGAGUGUGAUGUCAAUGAGCUGACUAAACCGCAGAAUUCUGAGGCAGCGCAACAAUUGAAGAAGGGCAAGAAAGGUUUCAAAUUUGGGCGGCUAAAAGAAGACCCAUUAUCUUUAUCAAAUGGCUCUUCAGGACUGAAAGACAUGUCUGUCAUUAUUGGUAACCCAGCAUAUCAGGAUGACUCAAAACACACACAAGAUGAAGGUGGGAACAGAGAAAAUCACAGACAACCCAUAAAUAUUGAGUCUUCAUUAAAAGGGGAUACAUUUAUUAUAGAAAAUACUACAGUUAAUGGCAUGUACCCAGAACAAGAUGGUGCAGGACAUUCAUUAGAGGAUAAUUCAUCUAUUAGCAGAAACCAGGAAGCUCCAGAUGACUUGUCAGUUAAUGGGCAUCCUCUCGAAUCUGAUGACAGCUUGGAUGGCAGUGAACAAGUUGGCCAAGGUGCGCGACGUAAAGUACGUGACUCCACCACUAUGGUCUCGGCAGAAGUCAACACCACCAGUGACUCUCAGAAGUGUUUAUGAGAUGCUGAUAAGCAUGAAAUUAUUGUUUGCAAACAGCACAGAAAUUACAAUUCAUUAACAGUUGCAUAAGGGAAUGGUGGCCGGCGCCAUAUUUUAAGGCAAGUAUUGUAUGCACUAUGUAUUUGUUUAACUUAAGUAUCUUUUUUUUAUGCCUAGCUGUAUUGAACAUUUAAUAUAUGAUAAUCUAAAAACGUUAUCAGUCAGUUUAGACACCAACAGUUUUUGCUUAUCGCACGGGGUGGGGAACCCAAGAGCCAUACAAAUGUGGCCCUCCUGUAUACACCAUAAUAAAUCAGUUAAAAUCAGAACUGUUAGCUUAAAAUUAGGCACAGCAUAUAUGAUGUAUCAGUAAAUGAUGGGAAAAGUACUGUAUUUGUGGAAAUUCUUCAUGCAAAGACUUCUAUGAACAUCCUAGGCAUAAACCAUACCACAGGUGGGGUUAGAACCCGUGAUCAGAUCGCAGGUUCUAAUCCCACCUGUGGUAUGGUUUGUUUGUAAUUGUGUCAUUACGAUUUCAUGAGUCAUCCUAGGCAUAAUAUUUAGCUUUAUAUUUGUGCAUCACUAACUUUUUAGCAGUGCCAAGAUUAUUUUCAGUCCACACAGAAAGACAGUGCUUUUAUCUUCAUUGCAAAUAAUUUCUAAAAGGGAUGCUUUAAUGAUGGUGAAAGUCUCUAGAUCCAUGAAAUUGGAGCUCUCUCCUUCCUCAAUUCAAACUUGAUUACUCUUCACCUUUAUGGAUUUAGUACUUUCUAAGAAUAAUUUAUAUAUUUAUUGCUAAGUUAUUUUUAUGAAUAAUAGACACAAAUAGCAGUACUAAUUGGAAACUUUGUUAAGAAAAUAUUUAGCCUGGACAGUAAAGCUUAUUAUUCAAAUAUGAUCACACUUUUUCAACUUUGACCGGACUUGAAAAAGCCUGAUGCUCAAGCAAAAAAAAAUCUAUUACUGCUAUUGUGUCUUUAUCACUACAACUCGUCGAUAUUCCCAUACCGUCUACUAUUGCAAAACUAUCUUUGUGUACAUUAUUUUUUCAUAGAGGAGUAUGUGUGGAUGGCUGAAAAAUGAAGUAACAGUGGACAUAAUAAAAAGUAUAAUAUACAACAUGUAUAUCAGAAAAGCAGAAUUUUUCAGUGAUGUAGAAGUAGUGUGAGAGAAUGUGUGGAUGCCUCUGAAUUGAGCUUCACAAGGUGUAAGGCUAACUGUAUGGCAUUAUUACAGGGAAGAAAAAGCAUAUUCAAUUUUAGUGGUCACUUUGGGAAGUAUAAUGCACCUUGGUACAAUCAGCAAAUAAUUUGUUUGAAAUAUAAAAUAUGUUAGCUAAUAAUAAGAACAGGUAGGAGUAUUCCAAUAAUUUUACAAUGGAAUGGUGCUUGAGGUGCAGACUCAAAACAUGUAAUAAAAAAAAAAUUGUUCAUUGGGUAUACCAUAUACAUGUACUUUUCUUGGGCUACAGUUCUUGCAAAUCUUAAUAUUAACAAUAUUAGAGCCAUAUUUAAGUAAAUGUGACUUCGUGAAGUCAUGCUGGCUAUUAGAAAUUUCCUUUUUUUUUUUUUUUUUUUACUCAAAAACUGGUUAAAGAAUCAGUAUGAAUUUAUUUGGCCUUAAUAAGCUAAUACAGUGGACCCCUGCUUUACGAUCACCUCCCAAUGCGACCAAUUAUGUAAGUGGAUUUAUGUAAGUGCAUUUGUACGUGUAUGUUUGGGGGGUCUGAAAUGGACUAAUCUAAUUCACAAUAUUCCUUAUGGGAACAAAUUUGUCCAGUACUGGCACCUGAACAUACUUCUGGAAUGAAAUAAUAUCGUAAACCGGGGGUCCACUGUACAGUGGACUCCCGAGUUUCGGCAGCUUCGACUUUCGUGACAUUCAACCUUCGGCGAGUUUUCUUGGAAAAAUUUGGCCUCGAGUUUCUUGAAAAAACUCGUGUUUCGGCGACCGUCCAGUACCCGUCCGCCCGUCACCGCGCACACAAAGCCAGUCUCCCAUGCCAUUCACGCUCAGUGUGCCAUUGUUUACCAACAUGUGACCAUCACCCCGUGGGUUCAUACAAUACAUUUCAUAAUAAUCCAUUGUUUUUUGUGCUUGCAACUGCUAAAUAAGUCAUCAUGGACCCAAGGAAAGCUAGUGCAAGCCCUUUGGUAAAUAAAGCGAGUGACGGGGAUGUGGAAGAGUUGGUGGAGGACCACAGGGAAGAGCUAACCACUGAUGAACUGCAAGAGCUUCAACUGGAACAGCAUCAGACCACAGCCAAGGAACUUGCUUCAGAGGAGGAGGAGGAAGAGGGAGUGGAUGAGGUGCCUUCUUCAGUGAUUAAGGACAUGUGUGGAAUGAGUUGCAAAGUUUUGUUGAAAAGUAUCACCCUGACCAAGCUGAAACAAGCCAUAUCUGCAACAUGUACAAUGACAGUGUUGUGUCCCACUUCAGGGAAAUCUUAAAGAAAUGCCAAAAAAAGACCUCUGGAUAGAUAUUUUGUGUGCCAGGGGUCCAGUGACUCUCAAGGUGUUCCCAGUGGCAUUAAAAGAAGAAGGGAAGUAACCCCAGAUAAGGACUUGCUACCUAAAGUCCUAAUGGAAGGAGAUUCUCCUUCCAAACAAUAGUGUACACCUUCCUCCUAUCACCUCCUCCCAUCUUCCAUCCACCCAGAAGUCUUCAGUAAAGGUAAGUGUAAUGUUAUUAUUAUUUAUUUUAAAUGCAUGUACUUGAUUUCUGAUUGUUUUCAUUAUGUAAAUCUUUAUUUAAUUUUAAAAAAAUAUUUUAUUUUAAUAUUUUUGGGUGUCUGCAAUGGAUUAAUUUUAUUUCCAUUAUUUCUUAUGGGGAAAAUGGUUUUGAGUUUCGUGAAUUUCAACCUUCGGCAGGCUCUCUGGAAUGGAUUAAUCACGAAACUCGGGGGUCCACUGUACUUUGUACAGCUUUCAUAGUAAUUUCAAAAUUGGUUUAGAUGCAGAUUUCUUAAAGGUAAAUUUACAGUUGAUCAGUUCUUUGAAUAUACCAGUUAUUUGUGACUUUUGCUUUUCAAGUGAUGGUUUUAAAGUUAAUAAUACACCAUAAGGUUUUGGCAUACAGUUUGUGAUGUCUUGUUCGUUCCUGAUGAGACUACUGGAUACUGCACAUUUUUGCACUAUGUAGUUAUGUAAGGUGACUUGUUUUUAUAUAUGAUGAAUGACCUUACUGGUACUGUAUAUAAUUUGCACGAGUUUGCUUGACCUGACAAAUUUGUUGACAUGGCACAUUUUCUUAUUUAAAGUUUUGCAGUGACAUAAGGAAAAUUGUAUCAAGCUUUUUUUUUUUUUUUAAAGAUCUUGGUAAUGUUAUUGACAAUAAGCAAAGUUUCUAGUUUAUAAUGAAUAUGUUUACAUCACAAAAUGAAAUUUGAGCAUUUUCUCUUUUAAAGUGCAGGUACAGUAAUAUUUGUAGAUUUGUUAAUUUUUACUUCAUGUGUUAUUCAUAAUGUAUUUAUAUUGUAAUUAUAAGUAUUUUUAAUUAAAAAAUGUUGAUAAAAUGUCUUUGUAUAUACUGUACUGUAUGCUGAAGGUAAUUUCAUAGUUUUUAGAUUAGAAAAUUUUCAGUUUGGACGAUAUGUUGGUUUACUGUUGAAAGAUUGUUGUGCUGGACAUUUUAUUUCAGGGUCCCCACCCCUACCCCAGUCUGCUUUAUAGAAUUAUAUUAGGUCUGCUUCAGUUAUUAGGAUGGCCUAGCCCUAAACCAUGACCAUUCAUUCUUGGUUAUACAGUGGAACCCUGGUUUUCGUCCUUAAUCCGUUCCAGAAGGUUGGUCAAAAUUCGAAAUGGACGAAAACUGAAAUAAUAUUUCCCAUAAAAAAUAAUGUAAAUCCAAUUGAUCCAUUCCAGACACCCAAAAAUAUUAUCAAAAAAAGCAUUUUAUAGAGAAUAACUAUAGUUUUACAUACAGAAAAAAUGAGGAAUAAAUAUAAAGCACUAAUGAAAUGGAUAAAUGAACAUUUAAAUCACUUUUACCUUUUUUGGAGACUUGUUGGUGUUUGGAAGAUGGUGAGGAGGGGAGAGGGAGGAGAGGUUAUCUCUACUACCAUCACUACCACCCUUUACCACCAUCACUACAGGUCGGCCAUCAUUAAUCCGGCGUCAUUGGGACCUGUAGUGUGCUGGAUUAGUGAGUUUGCUGGAUUACAGAGUGGUUAGGUUAGAAUACACUUAAUUAACCUAUCAAUAGAGACUUUCUGCUACAUCUUCCUCAUUUUCAUCACUGCUUUCUCCUCCACUGGCUUGCUGCUGUGGAUUUACAACUAUCUGCACACUUUAUGAGUUAGUAUAAUGAUGAAAUUUGAGUCAGUAUAAUGAUGAAAUUUGAGUCAGUAUAAUGAUGAAAUUAUGCUAGCCAAAAUUAAUGCCGGAUUACUGAUGGAACCAGAUAACUGAUUGCCAGAUUAGUAAUGGCCGACCUGUACCACCCUCUACCACCAUCACUACCAACACCACAACUACUACCACCCAAUACCACCAUCACAACCACCCUCUACCACCAUCACAACCACUACCACCCUCUACUGCCAUUGAAUUCUAUAGUGUUUCUUGCCUUCUUUAUCAAAGGGCUGGUGCUCGGAACUUUAUUUGGCCCCAUGGUGGCUUAUUUAACAGUCGCACUCAAUAAACAAGUACAAAAAACAAUGGAUUAUUAUGAAAUGUUUCGCAUGAACGCGCAGGGUAAUGGUCACUUGAGAAACAAAGCCAGACUGACUCAGAAUGUGUGCGUGGGAUGCUUUGUGUGGGUGCGGGCAGACGGACGUGUUCAUUACAGCGGACGAAAACCGAGGUGGUGAAUGAAAACCAGGACAAUAUUUUGACGACAAAAGUCAUUGAAAAUGGAAUUCGACGAAAACCAGGGCAAACGAAACCUGAGGUUCCACUGUAUACAGUACACACAUUACUUACCUUAAAAUAUUUUCAUACUUAGUUUAUAGUGAGUGGUGAAUAUUCAUUGUAGGAAGUCUGAAUAAAUGAAGAAUGGGUAUAAUUGUAAAAAGCUGUAUUAGCGAAACGCUGUAAAGCGGGGCCUGCCUGUAUAUCAGUUUAUUGCCCACGAUUAUGUAAAACAGUUCAAAAGGCCAACAUGUGUGCCAAGCAUCAUUUUCUCAAAUGAACCUACAUUCCUGGAGACACAGUAGGGCCAUAUAUGGCAGGAAGUCAGCAGAUCAUGGCCCACAUAAUACCACCUUUGUGUUUAAUUCUUUUAUGACAUCAGCCAUCUCCCACUAAGGUAGGGAGAUACAAAGAGCAACACAUUCCCCAUUGUUCAUUCAAUAACUGUCAUGCCAGUGUGUAGACAUUACACUUCAAAUGGCCCUCCGAACUGCAACAUCCUCACCUAUCUUUCAGAGUGCAGGCACUUAAAAAAAAAGGGAAACACAUUUACUAUUAUUAAUUUAAUACUAUCUUUCCAGAGUGUGCUAACAUCACACUUCAGAUGACUCUCCAAGCUGGAACUAGGUUUAGCACUUCUUUUUGAUUAUAAUAGUAAUCCAAACUGUAAUAUCCCCACCCCUCCUUUAGA
Cherax quadricarinatus is the source of this 7323-nucleotide RNA transcript. RefSeq lists it as uncharacterized. Lineage: Eukaryota; Metazoa; Arthropoda; Malacostraca; Decapoda; Parastacidae. The record is from RefSeq and is a predicted model, not a curated record.